This 681-nucleotide ribosomal RNA is filed under the name uncultured bacterium. Its description in RNAcentral is "bacterial SSU rRNA". It matches the Rfam family "Bacterial small subunit ribosomal RNA", at positions 123 to 823 of the family's 1533-position model. The record is from RNAcentral.
AACCUGGCCCAUACAGGGGGAUAACACUUAGAAAUAGGUGCUAAUACCGCAUAACAACAGAAAGCGCAUGCUUUUUGUUUGAAAACCAAGGUGGUAUGGGAUGGACCCGCGUCUGAUUAGCUGGUUGGCGGGGUAAAGGCCCACCAAGGCGACGAUCAGUAGCCGGCCUGAGAGGGUGGACGGCCACAUUGGGACUGAGACACGGCCCAAACUCCUACGGGAGGCAGCAGUGGGGAAUAUUGCACAAUGGGGGAAACCCUGAUGCAGCGACGCCGCGUGAGUGAAGAAGUAAUUCGUUAUGUAAAGCUCUAUCAGCAGGGAAGAAAAUGACGGUACCUGAGUAAGAAGCCCCGGCUAACUACGUGCCAGCAGCCGCGGUAAUACGUAGGGGGCAAGCGUUAUCCGGAUUUACUGGGUGUAAAGGGAGCGUAGACGGCAGUGCAAGUCUGGAGUGAAAGGCGGGGGCUCAACCCCCGGACUGCUCUGGAAACUGUACGGCUGGAGUGCAGGAGAGGUAAGUGGAAUUCCUAGUGUAGCGGUGAAAUGCGUAGAUAUUAGGAGGAACACCAGUGGCGAAGGCGGCUUACUGGACUGUAACUGACGUUGAGGCUCGAAAGCGUGGGGAGCAAACAGGAUUAGAUACCCUGGUAGUCCACGCCGUAAACGAUGAUCACUAGGUGU